GUUUGGGCUUCUUGAUUUGAUUGCGAAACCGGGUCGUUACAGAAGUGGUAUGAAUUGAAGAAGUGUAAGGAUGAGGAGGAGAUGAGCAAUACCUCUGCUGAUCAAGGCGUGGAUGGCGGGGACGAGGUGCCGUGUAUGGCUCGGGAACAGCUCUUGAACACUUGGUGUUUUAUGCAAUCCCACGAUCAGUUGUCGGUCGACACUUGCUUUGUAGCAGCGAGCUCAAGCUCGUCCUCUGUAUCUAAUUCUUCCCAAACGUCGUCUCCAUCUCGAACUAGAAUAGCAUUACAGGCUCUUUUUGGAUUAGUAUCAGGCAUGCCAGGAAGAACACCAUCUUGUCUCUUAACAGCUGCGGUAAUUUGAGCAAAUUGAACAUCGAGUUUCUUCAUGUGAUUGUUCAAAGUGUCAAUCUUGCCAUUCAAAUCAGAAUAGAUGGCAUCAAACUUCUCGUUGAACACAACUGUAAGCUUCGUCUGAUCCUCUAGAAUCUUCUCAAGCAUUGUCUCCAUCUUACUCUCAGGAGUGGGUGUAGGGGGUUUUGGUAGGUUGUGUUCCCUUAGGUUCUCUGGAAGCUACUACUUUGUGGAUAUGUCUUCUGAAACGCUGGUCUGUUGUUAAAAUUAUUGUUGUUCAGAAUUCUCUGUAAGCCGCUGACCACCGAAGUUACCCUGUUGAGUACUGAAUUUUCGAUAUCCCUGGCCAUCAAUGUAGAAUACUCCUUCCUCAGACUCUUCUUUUGGCAAAGUGAACAGCUUUGUUACCCGUGAGGAGGCUGUGAACUGAAUCCAACUUGGUAUUGACCUCUGCAAACUGACUUGCUGUAAUCGCUCUUGCAAUCUUCUUCCUUUCGAAGUCUGCGUUCUUCGUGCUGUUGCAACAGGCAAGAAUCUCAAUCAAAGCUACAGCAUCUGCAGGGUACCUAGUGUUAAAGUUACUAUUGCUUGCACCAUCUAGAGCCAUCUGAUAUCUCCAAUCAACUCCUCUGAAAAAUGUACCGAUGAGCUGAACCUCACUGAAACCGUGAUGCGGGCAAUCGCAUUGGUACUCCUUGAAUCUGACCCAACCAGCUUUAAAUGCUUAUGCUGGUCAUUGAGUGAAUAUAGAUAGCUUGUUGCAAAAUUCUUCAGACUUACCAUCAUCAUAGAAGUUGUUUAAAAAGAGUACCUUGAUUUUCCUCCAGCUAGUCAAGGGCCCUGCCUUCAACUGCUUCAGCCAAGAACAAGUGAGUAUGGGAAGAGCUUGCAGAGAAGGUAGUCAUCUGAAACUCCAUUAGCCUUUAUGCUAGAUACCAAAUCCUCAAAGCGCUCGAUAUGGUCCAUUGGUUGUCAUGAGAUAAGCCAUAGAAAGGAUGUUGUCCCACAAGAGUGAAGUAGGGCGGUUUUAGCUCGAAAUCGUUUCUCUUGAAUGGGGGAGGUACG
RNAcentral lists this long non-coding RNA (1418 nucleotides) under Arabidopsis lyrata. RNAcentral describes it as "long non-coding RNA (ALYR_LNC001326)". Lineage: Eukaryota; Viridiplantae; Streptophyta; Magnoliopsida; Brassicales; Brassicaceae. The record is from RNAcentral.